Molecule: ribosomal RNA, 1671 nt
Filed under: Nothobranchius vosseleri
Lineage: Eukaryota; Metazoa; Chordata; Actinopteri; Cyprinodontiformes; Nothobranchiidae
Description: 16S ribosomal RNA
Rfam family: Bacterial large subunit ribosomal RNA (bases 167-1658)
Source: RNAcentral
ACUUAAGAGCUAGCUAUAUGUAAUAUUUAACAGAUAAGUAUUUACACAUAUUAAUACACUAAUAAACACAACUAAACCAUUUUCCCAUCAUAGUAUAGGUGAUAGAAAAGAAAAUUUAAGCUAUAGAUCAAGUACCGCAAGGGAAUGCUGAAAGAGAAAUGAAAUAACUUAGUAAAGUAAUAUAAAGCAGAGAUGAAAACUCGUACCUUUUGCAUCAUGUUUUAGCAAGAAUAAAUAAACAAAAUGUUUUCUAGAUUAUUUCCCCGAAACUUGGUGAGCUACUCCGGGACAGCCUGUUAAUAGGGCAAACACGUCUCUGUUGCAAAAGAGUGUGAAGAUCUCUGAGUAGAGGUGACAGACCUACCGAACCUAGUUAUAGCUGGUUACCUGAGAACUAAAUAAAAGUUUAGCCUCUUAUUUUUUAAAUUUAAUUAUGACUUAAUCAUUAAAAUAAUAAUAGAAUGUUAAAGAGUUAUUCAUAAGGGGUUCAGCUCUUAUGAAAAAGGAUACAACCUUAUUAAAUGGNUAAUGAACACAAAAUAAAAAGUUAAUGUUCUAGUAGGCUUAAAAGCAGCCAUCUAAGAAUAAAAGCGUCAAAGCUUAAACAUUCCUCCUACUUUUAAUAAAGAUAUCUUAUCUUACACCCUUAGAUUUAUCAGGUCUUUCCACCCACCGGUGGAAGAGAUCAUGCUAAUAUGAGUAAUAAGAAAACUUUCUCCUAAUACCCGUGUCAUUAAAAACGGAAAAGCCUUUUAAAAUUAAACGGUCCCAAAUAAAGAGGGAAUUAAAUAAUAAAAUGACAACAAGAAAACUAUUUAACUAGUAACCGUUAAACCCACACCGGCGUAUUUUAAAGGAAAGAUGAAAAGAAAAAGAAGGAACUCGGCAAAUAUAUUUCCAUAAGCCUCGCCUGUUUACCAAAAACAUCGCUUCUUGAUUUAUAGUAUAAGAAGUCCCGCCUGCUCUGUGACAAAGUUUAACGGCCGCGGUAUUUUGACCGUGCUAAGGUAGCGCAAUCACUUGUCUUUUAAAUAAAGACCUGUAUGAAUGGCAUAACGAGGGCUUAACUGUCUCCUUUUUCCCAUCAAUGAAAUUGAUCCUCUCGUGCAGAAGCGGGAAUGAGCACAUAAGACGAGAAGACCCUAUGGAUCUUUAGUCGCAAGAGUAGGUCAUAUUUCAAUUAUACCUAUAAUAGAUAAAAACCAAUGAACUCUACUCAAAUGUCUUUGGUUGGGGCGACCAUGGAGUAAAAUAUAACCUCCUUAAGGAAUGAAGUUACUUCUUCCAAUUUUAGAGUGACAACUCUGGACAGUAGAAAAUCUAACCAUAAAGAUCCGGCAAAGCCGAUCAAUGAACCAAGUUACCCUAGGGAUAACAGCGCAAUCCUCUUCUAGAGCCCAUAUCGACAAGGGGGUUUACGACCUCGAUGUUGGAUCAGGACAUCCUAAAGGUGCAGCAGCUAUUAAGGGUUCGUUUGUUCAACGAUUAAAGUCCUACGUGAUCUGAGUUCAGACCGGAGUAAUCCAGGUCAGUUUCUAUCUAUGAAAUAUUUUACUCCAGUACGAAAGGACAGAGUAAAAAAGGCCAAUGAUUAAUCAAGCCUUCUUCUUAACUAAUGAAGACAAAUUAAUAAGUAAAAGAAAAUACUUAUUAAGGAAAAGAUAAUUCCUC